This is a non-coding RNA of Moniliophthora roreri, 99 nucleotides long. Lineage: Eukaryota; Fungi; Basidiomycota; Agaricomycetes; Agaricales; Marasmiaceae. The record is from Rfam.
UGCCCCAUGGCUGAGUUGGUUACAGCGUCCGACUGUUAUGUGCUGCGUCAAUGGAGACCUAACAUCGGAAGGUCGUGAGUUCGAGCCUCACUGGGGCAG